GACCUAGUGGCGCAAUGGUAGCGUGUCUGACUCCAGAUCAGAAGGUUGCGUGUUCAAGUCACGUCGUGGUCA
RNAcentral lists this transfer RNA (72 nucleotides) under Ameiurus melas (black bullhead). It matches the Rfam family "tRNA". Rfam says of the family: Transfer RNA (tRNA) molecules are approximately 80 nucleotides in length. The record is from Rfam by way of RNAcentral. Lineage: Eukaryota; Metazoa; Chordata; Actinopteri; Siluriformes; Ictaluridae.